Non-coding RNA from Chlorocebus sabaeus (green monkey), 255 nucleotides. It matches the Rfam family "Metazoan signal recognition particle RNA". Rfam says of the family: The signal recognition particle (SRP) is a universally conserved ribonucleoprotein. It is involved in the co-translational targeting of proteins to membranes. Lineage: Eukaryota; Metazoa; Chordata; Mammalia; Primates; Cercopithecidae. The record is from Rfam.
GCCGGGCGCGGUGGCUCAAGCCUGUAAUCCCAGCACUUUGGGAGGCCGAGGCGGGCGGAUCACGAGGUCAGGAGAUCGAGACCAUCCUGGCUAACACGCACAGUGAAACCCCAUCUCUACUAAAAAAUUCAAAAAAACUAGCUGGNNNNNNNNNNCCAGCUAGUUUUUUUGAAUUUUUUAGUAGAGAUGGGGUUUCACUGUGCGUGUUAGCCAGGAUGGUCUCGAUCUCCUGACCUCGUGAUCCGCCCGCCUCGG